AAUAGCUUUAGGGCUAGCGUUAUGUUAGAUUACCGGAGGUAAAGCACUGAAUGGUUUAGGGGCUGAUAAAGUUACCGACGCCUAUCAAACUCUGAAUGCCGGAUAAUUGAUGCACAGCAGUCAGACAGUGUGAGAUAAGUUUCAUUGUCAAAAGGGAAACAGCCCAGACCUACAGCUAAGGUCCCAAAUGUAUGCUAAGUGGAAAACGAUGUGGAAUUGCGAAAACAACCAGGAUGUUGGCUUAGAAGCAGCCACACAUUAAAAGAGUGCGUAAUAGCUCACUGGUCGAGUGACUCUGCGCGGAAAAUGUAACGGGGCUAAGCAUACAACCGAAGCUUAGGAUUGUCUAAAGACAGUGGUAGGGGAGCGUUCUGUAUGGGGUGAAGUCGCAGCGAGAGCAGCGGUGGACUGUACAGAAGUGAGAAUGCCGGAAUGAGUAGCGAGAAUUAUGUGGGAAUCAUAAUGGCCGAAAAUCUAAGGUUUCUUGGGGAAGGUUCGUCCGCCCAAGGUAAGUCGGGAGCUAAGCUCAGGCCGCGAGGCGUAGGCGAUGCACAUACGGUAGAAAUUCCGUAACCACCGAACUUUAAGCAUGAGGGACACUUUGAGAUAGCGGAACCCGGGCGUUGGUUGACCCGGGCGAAAGGGACCGAAAUAUAGUAGGGAAGUCCGCGAUGCUUGGAGGCGAGAAAAGCUCAUGUGUAUACUAAGGUGCCCGUACCGCAAACCGACACAGGUAGAUGAGGAGAGAAUCCUAAGGCCAACGGGAGAAGGGUUGUUAAGGAACUCGGCAAGUUGACCCCGUAACUUCGGAAGAAGGGGAGCCUCGAAAGAGGCCGCAGUGAAUAGGCCCAAGCAACUGUUUACCAAAAACACAGGUCUAUGCUAAAUCGAAAGAUGACGUAUAUGGGCUGACGCCUGCCCGGUGCCGGAAGGUUAAGAGGAGAUGUCAGCGCAAGCGAAGCAUUGAAUUGAAGCCCCGGUAAACGGCGGCCGUAACUAUAACGGUCCUAAGGUAGCGAAAUUCCUUGUCAGGUAAGUUCUGACCCGCACGAAAGGCGUAAUGAUUUGGGCACUGUCUCAACAGCCCGCCCGGCGAAAUUGUAGUACUGGUGAAGAUGCCAGUUACCCGCAACUAGACGGAAAGACCCCAUGGAGCUUUACUGCAGCUUAAUACUGAAAUUCGGUAGUACAUGUACAGGAUAGGUGGGAGACUGAGAAAUACAGGCGUCAGCUUGUAUGGAGUCGCUGUUGGGAUACCACUCUUGUACUGCUGGGUUUCUAACCUGCGGCCGUGAAUCCGGUCGGGGGACACUGUUAGGCGGGCAGUUUGACUGGGGCGGUCGCCUCCAAAAGAGUAACGGAGGCGCUCAAAGGU
RNAcentral lists this ribosomal RNA (1375 nucleotides) under human metagenome. Its description in RNAcentral is "bacterial LSU rRNA". It matches the Rfam family "Bacterial large subunit ribosomal RNA", at positions 863 to 2317 of the family's 2925-position model. The record is from RNAcentral.